This 161-nucleotide ribosomal RNA is filed under the name bacterium TCBS-DC2. RNAcentral describes it as "partial 16S ribosomal RNA". The record is from RNAcentral.
GCAAGGCGAGCGGAAACGAGUUAUCAGAACCUUCGGGGAACGAAAACGGCGUCGAGCGGCGGACGGGUGAGUAAUGCCUGGGAAACCGCCCUGAUGUGGACGAUAACCACCGGAAACGAUGGCCAAUACCGCAUAAUAGCUCCGGCUCAAAGAGGGGGACC